AUCAAUUUAAGCGGAGGAAAAGAAACCAACAGGGAUUGCCCUAGUAACGGCGAGUGAAGCGGCAACAGCUCAAAUUUGAAAUCUGGCUCUUUCAGAGUCCGAGUUGUAAUUUGCAGAGGGCGCUUUGGCUUUGGCAGCGGUCCAAGUUCCUUGGAACAGGACGUCACAGAGGGUGAGAAUCCCGUACGUGGUCGCUAGCUAUUGCCGUGUAAAGCCCCUUCGACGAGUCGAGUUGUUUGGGAAUGCAGCUCUAAAUGGGAGGUAAAUUUCUUCUAAAGCUAAAUAUUGGCCAGAGACCGAUAGCGCACAAGUAGAGUGAUCGAAAGAUGAAAAGCACUUUGGAAAGAGAGUCAAACAGCACGUGAAAUUGUUGAAAGGGAAGCGCUUGCAGCCAGACUUGCUUGCAGUUGCUCAUCCGGGCUUUUGCCCGGUGCACUCUUCUGCAGGCAGGCCAGCAUCAGUUUGGGCGGUGGGAUAAAGGUCUCUGACACGUUCCUUCCUUCGGGUUGGCCAUAUAGGGGAGACGUCAUACCACCAGCCUGGACUGAGGUCCGCGCAUCUGCUAGGAUGCUGGCGUAAUGGCUGUAAGCGGCCCGUC
RNAcentral lists this ribosomal RNA (598 nucleotides) under Curvularia lunata. Its description in RNAcentral is "partial 26S ribosomal RNA". It matches the Rfam family "Eukaryotic large subunit ribosomal RNA", at positions 40 to 653 of the family's 3401-position model. Lineage: Eukaryota; Fungi; Ascomycota; Dothideomycetes; Pleosporales; Pleosporaceae. The record is from RNAcentral.